RNAcentral lists this ribosomal RNA (519 nucleotides) under uncultured bacterium. RNAcentral describes it as "bacterial SSU rRNA". It matches the Rfam family "Bacterial small subunit ribosomal RNA", at positions 18 to 524 of the family's 1533-position model. The record is from RNAcentral.
CCUGGCUCAGGAUGAACGCUAGCGACAGGCUUAACACAUGCAAGUCGAGGGGCAGCGGAGGCAGUAGCAAUACUGCCUGCCGGCGACCGGCGCACGGGUGAGUAACACGUAUGCAACCUACCCUUGUCAGGGGGAUAAGCCGGAGAAAUCCGGUCUAAUACCGCGUGACAUCGGGAUUCCGCAUGGGAUUCCGAUCAAAGGAGCAAUCCGGACAAGGAUGGGCAUGCGGCGCAUUAGCUAGUUGGCGGGGUAACGGCCCACCAAGGCGACGAUGCGUAGGGGUUCUGAGAGGAAGGCCCCCCACACUGGUACUGAGACACGGACCAGACUCCUACGGGAGGCAGCAGUGAGGAAUAUUGGUCAAUGGGCGCGAGCCUGAACCAGCCAAGUCGCGUGAGGGAAUAAGGUCCUAUGGAUUGUAAACCUCUUUUGUCGGGGAGCAAUGAGCGUCACGCGUGAUGCGUUGAGAGUACCCGAAGAAAAAGCAUCGGCUAACUCCGUGCCAGCAGCCGCGGUAAU